CUUUUAUAAGAGUGAGGGGAACAAUGCAAUAGAUCUCGAUGUGACAACUGACAAGUGCCAACGACCACUUUAUUUCCCUGCUCAUAAACUUUGGCUGUGGCUUUUCCUUCCACCCACUUCCCUCAUUCUCAUCAAUUCCAGUUCAUUGGUUCUCUUUUUGGUCCAUUAUAUUUUGAUCUCAAUCCAUUACAAAGUAGACAACCUAAUAUCCGUUGCUUUCCAGACGACUUAAAGAUCCACAAAGCACCAAGUAUUUCAAUGAUGAGGACCUGCCACUCACAAAGGCCAUAUUAAGCUGCAUUGAAGAUGCAUCUUGUUCAUGCUCAAAACUAUGGAGCUGCAUGUAAUGCAAUUAUCAACUAGUGUUUCACUUCUUAUUCAUCUUGGCAUUGCUUCUUCCAGGCUGAGGGCACUGUCUUAUGCUGAACAAGUUGUGAAGCUGAUGGAUAGUUUGGUCAUGGCAGGGAAGGCCACAGUUGAAAUGAAUAAGGAGCUGAACACCAGAAAAUGGGAGCACCCUUGUUGCACAAAACUGUUAUUUUCACAGAUAUGUUACUUUGACACAGCACAGACCUCAUUGAUGCAUGGCUUUAAGCUCCUCAAAGAUGAUGGUCAUAUGUAUAAUCAAAUUAAUGCACCCUCUUUGUCAGGGACAAAGAUCUUGAACCAUCAAGUGACUUGUUGCUGCUUCCUACAAAAAUGUACUUCAGUGAGGUCCUGAGUUCUUGUACACUGCUGAAGAGAGUUCCCCUUUGAUACUUCAAAAUUUACACUAUUUUAAGCAAAUGCUGUUAUGGCAUAAGUAUGAGAUCCUGAGUUAUUGUAUUACUGAAGAGAGUUCCCCUUGGAUAUACUUCAAAAUUUCACCACUAUUUUGAUCAUUUCCUGUUAUAGCGUAUAAGAUCUGAGUUCUUGUACUGCUGAAGAGAGUUCCCCUUGGCAACUUCAAAAAUUUGACACUAUUUUAAUCAUUUAAUUUACUGAUUACAGCUUAUGUCUCUUUAUUGCAUUCCAUCAAUGUAAUAAUGCCGAUCGAUGAGUUUUAGCUUUGCAGAAGAAUGUUAUAAAUUGAAGUUUAUGUGCUUGUAAUGUGAGAGAUUAUUAAGAUGUUGUGAGAAAGUUUGAUGAACGUUGAAAUUCUUGCUUGUGUUUUAGUUAUAUAAUAUUAUGAGUCAUGUAAUUUCUGUA
RNA transcript from Glycine soja, 1188 nucleotides. RefSeq lists it as uncharacterized. The record is from RefSeq and is a predicted model, not a curated record. Lineage: Eukaryota; Viridiplantae; Streptophyta; Magnoliopsida; Fabales; Fabaceae. The transcript has 4 exons.